This 443-nucleotide ribosomal RNA is filed under the name uncultured bacterium. RNAcentral describes it as "partial 16S ribosomal RNA". It matches the Rfam family "Bacterial small subunit ribosomal RNA", at positions 338 to 795 of the family's 1533-position model. The record is from RNAcentral.
CCUACGGGUGGCAGCAGUGGGGAAUAUUGGGCAAUGGGCGCAAGCCUGACCCAGCAACGCCGCGUGAAGGAAGAAGGCUUUCGGGUUGUAAACUUCUUUUCUCAGGGACGAAGCAAGUGACGGUACCUGAGGAAUAAGCCACGGCUAACUACGUGCCAGCAGCCGCGGUAAUACGUAGGUGGCAAGCGUUAUCCGGAUUUAUUGGGUUUAAAGGGAGCGUAGGCCGGCUUUUAAGUCAGCUGUGAAAGUCCGUGGCUCAACCGUGGAAUUGCAGUUGAAACUGGAGGCCUUGAGUGCACACAGGGAUGCCGGAAUUCAUGGUGUAGCGGUGAAAUGCUUAGAUAUCAUGAAGAACUCCGAUCGCGAAGGCAAGUGUCCGGGGUGCAACUGACGCUGAGGCUCGAAAGUGCGGGUAUCAAACAGGAUUAGAUACCCCAGUAGUC